AUGAACAAUGAAUUUAAAAAACUGGUCGUAUAUAUAUAUUAUUUUUUUAAUUUGAUUUUCUCAGUAUACAAUGCUUACAAAAUUGAUAAUAUAACUAUUAAUAAACAACAAUUCAGUGAUGCUUUUGUAAAAGCAGUAAAAAAGAUUAAUAAAUAUAAUAAAAGUAACAAUAAUAAUUAUGAUUACUGUAAAUACAAAAAAAUACCUAAAAUAUUAAUAAACAGAAAUAAAUUAAAAGACAAUAAAAAAUUAAAUUAUAUAGUAGGGAUAGAAAAUACCUGUGAUGAUACAUGUAUUUGUAUUAUCGAUUCGAAUCUUAACAUAAUUAAAAAUGUUAUCAUAUCACAUUUUAAAGUAGUUCAUAAGUAUGAAGGAGUAUACCCGUUUUUUAUUAGUUCUAUUAAUAAGGUAUUUUUAAAGACCUAUGUAGAGAAAACGCUAGAUGGUAUUGAUGUAAAAAAAAUUAACUGUUUCGGAUUAAGUGUAUGUCCAGGUAUAGCCAAAAAUAUGGAGGCAGCUAAGACAUAUAUAGGGGAAGUAAAAACAAUAAAUGACCAUAUAAAAAUAAGUUCCGUAAAUCACGUAUUUGCUCAUGUCCUUUCACCACUAUUUUUUAAAUUUUACAAUGACAGAAACACAUAUACUAAUAAUUUCCAAUACAAGGAAAUAUUUAUAGAUGAUAGUCAAAGUAGUGGUCACAACAAUAUUCAAAAUGACAGCCAAAUAAACAGCCAAAUAAAAAGCCAAAUAAAUAGCCAAAUAAAUAGCCAAAUAAAUAGCCAAAUAAAUAGCCAAAUAAAUAGCCAAAUAAAUAUGGACAUAUCAAAAAAUAUAAAAUCAGACGAUAUAGACAACAUUUUACAAGUUUUAAAUGAUAAUGUUGUUACUAAGCAUAGAAUAAAACUUCUGAACAAAACUGAAUUUUUAAAAUAUGGGACAUACAUUUUAAAAAGAAUAAAUGAUGAACAUACUAAACAAAGUGAAUCCGAAGUAAAAAAAGAAAAAACAAGAUCAAAUGAGAACAACACAACCGAAAUAGUUACAAAUAACGAUAUGAUAAAGAAUGGCAACAAUUACUUGAAAGAUGGAUAUAUUUGUAUUUUAGUUUCUGGAGGUAGCACACAUGUAUAUAAAGUUCAAAAGAAUAAAAAAAAUGACAUUAAUGUGUGUAAAAUAGCACAAACUGUUGAUAUAUCUAUAGGGGACAUAAUUGAUAAAAUUACAAGACUUCUUCAGUUACCUGUCGGUUUAGGUGGAGGUCCAUUUCUUGAAAAAAAAUCAAAAGAAUUUGUUAAACGAUUAGAUGAACACCAAAUUGAUAAAAACAUGCUUACAGAUCCAUUUCAUCCGUUUCCUGUUCCUUUUGCAUCAAAUCAUAUAAUUGAUUUUUCUUUUUCAGGAAUUUAUAACCACAUGAGUAAUAUUAUAAAAGACCUUAAAAUGAAAAAUACGUUUGAAAAAGAAAUAGACAGAUAUUCUUAUUACUGUCAAAAAAAUAUAUUUAACCAUUUGUUAAAUCAACUAAAUAAAAUUAUGUAUUUUUCCGAACUACAUUUUGAUAUAAAAAAUUUAUUUAUCGUUGGAGGAGUCGGAUGUAAUAGUUUUUUGUUCCAAAGUUUGAAAGACCUCGCUUUAAAAAGAAGUACAAAAGAAAAUCAAAUUAAUGAAUAUAAUAAAUUAAAAAAAAGAUUAAAAAAAAAAAUAAAAAAAAAAAUCAAUACAAUUGAAAAAAAAACAACAAAAGAUACUCUAACAAAUGUAAAUGAGUUGAAUUUGUCUUCAGUAUGGGAUAUUUAUUUAAAAUUUCUUGUAAAGAAAGAAAAAAAGGAAAAUAUUUUAACAGCUCUAAAAAAUUUUAAUUUUGAAAACUUCUAUAAACUUAAGGAGAAGGGAUGUUUUAUGUUAGAAAGGAACCAAUUGGGUAGUUCAACUACUACAAUACCAUGGAACGUAUAUCGAACACCGUUAAACUUAAGUAAAGAUAAUGCAACUAUGGUUUGCUUCAUGUCUUUUUUGAAUUUACACAAUAAAAUGUAAGUAUAUGUGUAUAUGCUUAAACACGUAGUAUAAUAUGUGUAUGUAUACAUAUAU
Long non-coding RNA from Piliocolobus tephrosceles (Ugandan red Colobus), 2091 nucleotides. NCBI's taxonomy places the organism in Eukaryota, Metazoa, Chordata, Mammalia, Primates, Cercopithecidae. The record is from Ensembl.